RNAcentral lists this ribosomal RNA (549 nucleotides) under Caulobacter daechungensis. RNAcentral describes it as "bacterial SSU rRNA". It matches the Rfam family "Bacterial small subunit ribosomal RNA", at positions 143 to 726 of the family's 1533-position model. The record is from RNAcentral. Lineage: Bacteria; Pseudomonadati; Pseudomonadota; Alphaproteobacteria; Caulobacterales; Caulobacteraceae.
ACAACUCAGGGAAACUUGAGCUAAUACCGGAUGUGCCCUUCGGGGGAAAGAUUUAUCGCCAUUGGAGCGGCCCGCGUCUGAUUAGCUAGUUGGUAGGGUAAAGGCCUACCAAGGCUACGAUCAGUAGCUGGUCUGAGAGGAUGAUCAGCCACACUGGGACUGAGACACGGCCCAGACUCCUACGGGAGGCAGCAGUUAGGAAUCUUGCGCAAUGGGCGAAAGCCUGACGCAGCCAUGCCGCGUGAAUGAUGAAGGUCUUAGGAUUGUAAAAUUCUUUCAGCGGGGACGAUAAUGACGGUACCCGCAGAAGAAGCUCCGGCUAACUUCGUGCCAGCAGCCGCGGUAAUACGAAGGGGGCUAGCGUUGCUCGGAAUUACUGGGCGUAAAGGGCGCGUAGGCGGACAGUUUAGUCAGAGGUGAAAGCCCAGGGCUCAACCUUGGAACUGCCUUUGAUACUGGCUGUCUUGAGUUCGGGAGAGGUGUGUGGAACUCCGAGUGUAGAGGUGAAAUUCGUAGAUAUUCGGAAGAACACCAGUGGCGAAGGCGACA